RNAcentral lists this unclassified non-coding RNA (400 nucleotides) under Hevea brasiliensis (rubber tree). Lineage: Eukaryota; Viridiplantae; Streptophyta; Magnoliopsida; Malpighiales; Euphorbiaceae. The record is from RNAcentral.
CAUCAGCUUUUGCUGCCUUCUUUCCAUCACUGGUACUAGAAAGCUUAGUUGGAAGAAGCAAUCGCUUUACCUUAGCAGGAUCGUCCAAAUAGACACGUAAUCCAGUCAAAAAACCAGNCAAUUGCACCAGCAUCCAUUAGAAGCUUCUCCCUUAAGGUAACCUGUGGCUGUGAAGGAUUAUCUCCAUAUGUCAGGUGAAAGCCGGCUCUAGAAAGAAGGUUUCUAAAGAUAUCUUCUUCAUCUCCACUCACUCCUUCACUGUCUUCAGAAUCAAUGAGUUCAUCAGGAUCAGUUGUUAAAGCAUCAUGAUCAUCCUCAGAGGCCAAGACCUCUAGAUCUGAAAACUCAAACCAAGGACAGCAAUCCAAUAUUUCACAAACAAAAACAACAGUGUCACGCA